Anolis carolinensis (green anole) is the source of this 3840-nucleotide long non-coding RNA. RefSeq lists it as uncharacterized. NCBI's taxonomy places the organism in Eukaryota, Metazoa, Chordata, Lepidosauria, Squamata, Anolidae. The record is from RefSeq and is a predicted model, not a curated record. The transcript is spliced from 2 exons.
AUUAUUAUUCUUUUCCACAACUGUGAUGUCUGGUGUGUUGUGUUCCAGAACUUUGUCGGUCUGGAUUCGGAAGUCCCACAGUAUUUUUGCGUGCUCAUUUUCUAACACUUUUGCAGGUUUGUGAUCCCACCAGUUCUUUGCUGCUGGGAGGUGGUACUUGAUUAUUAUUAUUAUUCUUUUCCACAACUGUGAUGUCUGGUGUGUUGUGUUCCAGAACUUUGUCGGUCUGGAUUCGGAAGUCCCACAGUAUUUUUGCGUGCUCAUUUUCUAACACUUUUGCAGGUUGUGAUCCCACCAGUUCUUUGCUGCUGGGAGGUGGUACUUGAUUAUUAUUAUUAUUCUUUUCCACAACUGUGAUGUCUGGUGUGUUGUGUUCCAGAACUUUGUCGGUCUGGAUUCGGAAGUCCCACAGUAUUUUUGCGUGCUCAUUUUCUAACACUUUUGCAGGUUUGUGAUCCCACCAGUUCUUUGCUGCUGGGAGGUGGUACUUGAUUAUUAUUAUUAUUCUUUUCCACAACUGUGAUGUCUGGUGUGUUGUGUUCCAGAACUUUGUCGGUCUGGAUUCGGAAGUCCCACAGUAUUUUUGCGUGCUCAUUUUCUAAUACUUUUGCAGGUUGUGAUCCCACCAGUUCUUUGCUGCUGGGAGGUGGUACUUGAUUAUUAUUAUUAUUCUUUUCCACAACUGUGAUGUCUGGUGUGUUGUGUUCCAGAACUUUGUCGGUCUGGAUUCGGAAGUCCCACAGUAUUUUUGCGUGCUCAUUUUCUAAUACUUUUGCAGGUUGUGAUCCCACCAGUUCUUUGCUGCUGGGAGGUGGUACUUGAUUAUUAUUAUUAUUCUUUUCCACAACUGUGAUGUCUGGUGUGUUGUGUUCCAGAACUUUGUCGGUCUGGAUUCGGAAGUCCCACAGUAUUUUUGCGUGCUCAUUUUCUAAUACUUUUGCAGGUUGUGAUCCCACCAGUUCUUUGCUGCUGGGAGGUGGUACUUGAUUAUUAUUAUUAUUAUUAUUAUUAUUAUUAUUAUUAUUAUUACGUACAGUACUAGUGUUGUGUUGUUUACCUAUUAUUGUUAAAUUCCUUCAAAAUACUGUGAAUCACUGUAUUACUCAGGACCACGAGAGAAGGGCCUUAUUUGCAAUGUUCACCCAACAAGGGUGAUGCUUCUUCCUGCAGGAGUUGGAGCAUCCAAGGGCCAGUAUCAUCAUACAGCAAUUUUCACCUGCAUGAUGCUGUUUGAGACAGGAUGGAGCGCCAUGUGAUCAGGGACUGUACAGUACAUGCAAAGAAAGGGAUUUGUAUUCAUAUUUGCUUGUGCCAUUUAUGUUUUUGUGUCAAUGAAAACUAUGUAAUGCCUUAAGAAUGAUUUGACUGUAAGCCAAGAGUAUACAUGUUUUGUGUGAACGGGCCACGGUGUCUUUGGGAUUUUGUUGGAGUUAUCCACCCAAAUCCCAGCUGAAUAAACCAGCCUUUUUCCACCUCAGAGUAAGGCCUGGUAUGUUUCCUAAGAAACUACCAAAACACUAACUUACUACCAGAGGGAGGGCCAAGGUUUGCCUUCUGUACUUAACAGUGUUGCGUGCCCCACAUUUGACUGGCUUCUUUGUGACAACAGGUUCUUUCCUCUUCCAUCAGGCCCUUGGCCUUUAGUCCAGUUUUGCCCCAUUAACACGGCUCUCCCCCGGGUUCGAGUAUGGAGGCCUUUUGUCCAGGGAAUAGAAUAGAGUAGUAUAUUGUCAUCGUACUAUUGCACAACAUUACAUGCCUUCCCCCGCACACACCCAUCCUUGCACACUCCCACCACCACCACCACAGAGCCCCCAGUGCCACACCAGUGCGAAGCCAUGGAGUUCAGUAUAGCCCUAGGAUAAAGGCCAUCUCUCAGUCUGUUUGUCCUUGCCUUUGUCACCCUGUACCAUCUGCCUGGUGGCAGUAAUUAAAAAAAAAAAAAAAAGAAUAUGCCAGGUGGAUCCAUCUGGUAUCAACACAUCUAUUUAUCUACCUUUCUAUCCAUCUACCUAUCGAUCUAUUAACCUUCCUAUCUACUAAUCCAUCCAUCCACCUGCCUAUUGAUCUAUCUAUUGACCUGUCUGUCUGUCUCUCAAUCUAUUUAUCUGUCCCUCUAUCUGUCUGUCCCUCUAUCUAUCUAUCCAUCCAUCCAGCCAUCUUUCUUUUUAGCUAUCUACUAAUCCAUGCAUCAAUCCAUCUAUCUAUUGACCUUUCUUUCUAUUCAUCAAUCCAUCUAUCUUCUAUCUAUCUAUCUAUCCAUCAAUUUAUCUACUUUUUUACCCAUUCAUCCAUCCCCCUCUCUAUUGACGUAUCUACUAAUCCAUCCAUUCAACUAUUGAUCUAUAUAUUGUCCUGUCUGUCUGUCUAUCUGUCCAUACAUACAUCUACCUACUCACCUAUCUGCUUACCUAUCUACUAAUCCAACUGUCUAUCAAUUGACCUUUUUUCAAUCUAUCAAUCUACCUAUUGACCUACCUGCUUACUAAUACAUCCAUCUACCUGUUGAUCUAUCUGUUGACCUGUCUGUCUGUCUCUCUAUCCAUGCAUCCAUCCAUCUAUACAUACAUCUCCCUACCUACGUACUUACCUAUCUACUAAUCCAUCUAUUGACCUUUCUUUCAAUCCAUUAUUCUACCUAUCUACCUACCUACCUACUAAUCCAUCCAUCUACCUAUUGAUCAAUCUAUUGACCUUUCUAUCUGUCUGUCUCUAUCCAUCCAUCCAUGCAUCCAUCCAUCCAUCUAUACAUACACCUACCUACCUACAUACUUACCUACCAAUCCAAUUGUCUGUUUACCUUUCUUUCAAUCCAUCAAUCUACCUAUCGACUUAGCUACCUACUAAUCCAUCCAUCUACCUAUUAUCUAUCUGUUGACCUGUCUGUCUGUCUUUCUAUCCAUCCAUCAAUCCAUCUAUACAUACAAAUACCUACCUACUUACCUAUCUACUAAUCCAUCUAUUGACCUUUCUUUCAGUCCAUCAAUCUACCUAUCGACCUACCUACCUACUAAUCCAUCUACCUAUUGAUCUGUCUAUUGACCUGUCUGUCUCUCUGUCCAUCCAUCUAUCUAUACAUACAUCUACCUACCUACUUACCUAUCUACUAAUCCAUCUAUUGACCUUUCUUUCAGUCCAUCAAUCUACCUAUCGACCUACCUACCUACUAAUCCAUCUACCUAUUGAUCUGUCUAUUGACCUGUCUGUCUCUCUGUCCAUCCAUCUAUCUAUACAUACAUCUACCUACCUACUUACCUAUCUACUAAUCCAUCUAUUGACCUUUCUUUCAGUCCAUCAAUCUACCUAUCGACCUACCUACCUACUAAUCCAUCUACCUAUUGAUCUGUCUAUUGACCUGUCUGUCUCUCUGUCCAUCCAUCUAUCUAUACAUACAUCUACCUACCUACUUACCUAUCUACUAAUUCAUCUAUUGACCUUUCUUUCAGUCCAUCAAUCUACCUAUCGACCUACCUACCUACUAAUCCAUCUACCUAUUGAUCUGUCUAUUGACCUGUCUGUCUGUCUCUCUAUCCAUCCAUCCAAACAUCCAUCUAUACAUACAGAUACCUACCUACUUACCUACUAAUCCAUCUAUCUGUUGGCCGUUCUUUCAAUCCAUCAAUCUACCUGUUGACCCACCUACCUACUAAUUCAUCCAUCUACCUAUUGAUCUACCUAUUGACCUGUCUGUCUGUCUCUCAAUCUAGCCGUCUAUUCAUCUAUACAUACAUCUACCUACCUACUUACCUAUCUACCAAUCCAUCUAUCUAUUGGCCGUUCUUUCAAUCCAUCAAUCUACCUAUCGACCCACCUACCUACUAAUACAUCCAUCUACCUGUU